RNAcentral lists this ribosomal RNA (463 nucleotides) under uncultured bacterium. Its description in RNAcentral is "partial 16S ribosomal RNA". It matches the Rfam family "Bacterial small subunit ribosomal RNA", at positions 28 to 507 of the family's 1533-position model. The record is from RNAcentral.
GACGAACGCUGGCGGCACGCUUAACACAUGCAAGUCGAACGAGAGAAGAGAAGCUUGCUUUUCUGAUCUAGUGGCGGACGGGUGAGUAACACGUGAGCAAUCUGCCUUUCAGAGGGGGAUACCGAUUGGAAACGAUCGUUAAUACCGCAUAACAUAAUUGAACCGCAUGAUUUGAUUAUCAAAGAUAUCGCUGAAAGAUGAGCUCGCGUCUGAUUAGCUAGUUGGUAAGGUAACGGCUUACCAAGGCGACGAUCAGUAGCCGGACUGAGAGGUUGAUCGGCCACAUUGGGACUGAGACACGGCCCAGACACCUACGGGAGGCAGCAGUGGGGAAUAUUGCACAAUGGAGGAAACUCUGAUGCAGCGAUGCCGCGUGAGGGAAGAAGGUUUUAGGAUUGUAAACCUCUGUCUUCAGGGACGAAAAAAGACGGUACCUGAGGAGGAAGCUCCGGCUAACUACGUG